RNAcentral lists this ribosomal RNA (2922 nucleotides) under Klebsiella pneumoniae. RNAcentral describes it as "bacterial LSU rRNA". It matches the Rfam family "Bacterial large subunit ribosomal RNA". The record is from RNAcentral. Lineage: Bacteria; Pseudomonadati; Pseudomonadota; Gammaproteobacteria; Enterobacterales; Enterobacteriaceae.
GGGUUGUGAGGUUAAGCGACUAAGCGUACACGGUGGAUGCCCUGGCAGUCAGAGGCGAUGAAGGACGUGCUAAUCUGCGAAAAGCGUCGGUAAGGUGAUAUGAACCGUUAUAACCGGCGAUGUCCGAAUGGGGAAACCCAGUGUGAUUCGUCACACUAUCGUUAACUGAAUACAUAGGUUAACGAGGCGAACCGGGGGAACUGAAACAUCUAAGUACCCCGAGGAAAAGAAAUCAACCGAGAUUCCCCCAGUAGCGGCGAGCGAACGGGGAGCAGCCCAGAGUCUGAAUCAGCUUGUGUGUUAGUGGAACGGUCUGGAAAGUCCGACGGUACAGGGUGAUAGUCCCGUACACCAAAAUGCACAGGCUGUGAACUCGAAGAGUAGGGCGGGACACGUGGUAUCCUGUCUGAAUAUGGGGGGACCAUCCUCCAAGGCUAAAUACUCCUGACUGACCGAUAGUGAACCAGUACCGUGAGGGAAAGGCGAAAAGAACCCCGGCGAGGGGAGUGAAAAAGAACCUGAAACCGUGUACGUACAAGCAGUGGGAGCACCUUCGGGUGUGACUGCGUACCUUUUGUAUAAUGGGUCAGCGACUUAUAUUCUGUAGCAAGGUUAACCGUAUAGGGGAGCCGCAGGGAAACCGAGUCUUAACUGGGCGUUAAGUUGCAGGGUAUAGACCCGAAACCCGGUGAUCUAGCCAUGGGCAGGUUGAAGGUUGGGUAACACUAACUGGAGGACCGAACCGACUAAUGUUGAAAAAUUAGCGGAUGACUUGUGGCUGGGGGUGAAAGGCCAAUCAAACCGGGAGAUAGCUGGUUCUCCCCGAAAGCUAUUUAGGUAGCGCCUCGUGAAUUCAUCUUCGGGGUAGAGCACUGUUUCGGCUAGGGGGUCAUCCCGACUUACCAACCCGAUGCAAACUACGAAUACCGAAGAAUGUUAUCACGGGAGACACACGGCGGGUGCUAACGUCCGUCGUGAAGAGGGAAACAACCCAGACCGCCAGCUAAGGUCCCAAAGUCAUGGUUAAGUGGGAAACGAUGUGGGAAGGCACAGACAGCCAGGAUGUUGGCUUAGAAGCAGCCAUCAUUUAAAGAAAGCGUAAUAGCUCACUGGUCGAGUCGGCCUGCGCGGAAGAUGUAACGGGGCUAAACCAUGCACCGAAGCUGCGGCAGCGACACUAUGUGUUGUUGGGUAGGGGAGCGUUCUGUAAGCCUGCGAAGGUGACCUGUGAGGGUUGCUGGAGGUAUCAGAAGUGCGAAUGCUGACAUAAGUAACGAUAAAGCGGGUGAAAAGCCCGCUCGCCGGAAGACCAAGGGUUCCUGUCCAACGUUAAUCGGGGCAGGGUGAGUCGACCCCUAAGGCGAGGCCGAAAGGCGUAGUCGAUGGGAAACAGGUUAAUAUUCCUGUACUUGGUGUUACUGCGAAGGGGGGACGGAGAAGGCUAUGUUAGCCGGGCGACGGUUGUCCCGGUUUAAGCAUGUAGGCUGGUUGUCCAGGCAAAUCCGGAUAAUCAAGGCUGAGGUGUGAUGACGAGGCACUACGGUGCUGAAGUAACAAAUGCCCUGCUUCCAGGAAAAGCCUCUAAGCAUCAGGUAACAUCAAAUCGUACCCCAAACCGACACAGGUGGUCAGGUAGAGAAUACCAAGGCGCUUGAGAGAACUCGGGUGAAGGAACUAGGCAAAAUGGUGCCGUAACUUCGGGAGAAGGCACGCUGGUGUGUAGGUGAAGCCCCUGCGGGUGGAGCUGAGACCAGUCGAAGAUACCAGCUGGCUGCAACUGUUUAUUAAAAACACAGCACUGUGCAAACACGAAAGUGGACGUAUACGGUGUGACGCCUGCCCGGUGCCGGAAGGUUAAUUGAUGGGGUUAUCCGUAAGGAGAAGCUCUUGAUCGAAGCCCCGGUAAACGGCGGCCGUAACUAUAACGGUCCUAAGGUAGCGAAAUUCCUUGUCGGGUAAGUUCCGACCUGCACGAAUGGCGUAAUGAUGGCCAGGCUGUCUCCACCCGAGACUCAGUGAAAUUGAACUCGCUGUGAAGAUGCAGUGUACCCGCGGCAAGACGGAAAGACCCCGUGAACCUUUACUAUAGCUUGACACUGAACAUUGAGCCUUGAUGUGUAGGAUAGGUGGGAGGCUUUGAAGCGUGGACGCCAGUCUGCGUGGAGCCAACCUUGAAAUACCACCCUUUAAUGUUUGAUGUUCUAACGUUGGCCCCUUACCGGGGUUGCGGACAGUGUCUGGUGGGUAGUUUGACUGGGGCGGUCUCCUCCCAAAGCGUAACGGAGGAGCACGAAGGUUAGCUAAUCCUGGUCGGACAUCAGGAGGUUAGUGCAAUGGCAUAAGCUAGCUUGACUGCGAGCGUGACGGCGCGAGCAGGUGCGAAAGCAGGUCAUAGUGAUCCGGUGGUUCUGAAUGGAAGGGCCAUCGCUCAACGGAUAAAAGGUACUCCGGGGAUAACAGGCUGAUACCGCCCAAGAGUUCAUAUCGACGGCGGUGUUUGGCACCUCGAUGUCGGCUCAUCACAUCCUGGGGCUGAAGUAGGUCCCAAGGGUAUGGCUGUUCGCCAUUUAAAGUGGUACGCGAGCUGGGUUUAGAACGUCGUGAGACAGUUCGGUCCCUAUCUGCCGUGGGCGCUGGAGAAUUGAGGGGGGCUGCUCCUAGUACGAGAGGACCGGAGUGGACGCAUCACUGGUGUUCGGGUUGUCAUGCCAAUGGCACUGCCCGGUAGCUAAAUGCGGAAGAGAUAAGUGCUGAAAGCAUCUAAGCACGAAACUUGCCCCGAGAUGAGUUCUCCCUGAGACUUUAAGUCUCCUGAAGGAACGUUGAAGACGACGACGUUGAUAGGCCGGGUGUGUAAGCGCAGCGAUGCGUUGAGCUAACCGGUACUAAUGAACCGUGAGGCUUAACCUUACAACGCCGAAG